GUCAAUUUAACACAUUACCAGUACCAGUUUAUGAUCUUUUUGCCAAGAAUUUAACCUGGUGGGCACCCACAUACACAGGGGACUAUAUUUUUCCCAAAGAUAACACACACAGGUAGCCACACAUAUCCUAAAAGGAGAACUCCUUAAGGUGAAUUCACAAAUUCAGAAUGAUUUAGCCCAUCAUUGGUACAAUGCUUUACUGGUUGGUCCCCUACUGGAUCCCAGAUAAUGAAAUCAUUCUUCUAUCCUUUUGUUAUUAUAGUCCUGAUUUUAUUGUGUAUGAUUUUAUAUAACUGUCCCCUUAGUUGUACAUUGAGGAAGUGAGUACAGAAAUUAAUCCAUAAUGCAGAACAGAAACAAUUAGAAAUUCUCCUCUCUGCCACUGGAGGGUAUCAACCCAUCUUUAAACUGGGCCUUAGGAAUUACCACAUGGGAAUCGAGGUGAAGAAAUUAAUGAAAGUCCCGCAGGGAGUGACUAGCACCCCUGAAAAUACCAUGUGGAAGUUUCUCUGUCCUGGUAAGAUUUUAUCGAUAAGAUGAGCAAUUUUUUUAUUGCUCAAAGAGGGGAAUGUAAGAAUAUGAAAUAGUUAACGUGUUCAUAUGUAUUUUAUGCUUUUAUAAGGUUUAUAAAUAUUAUUGCUGACUGAAAGGAUAUGAAAUAGUUAAACUCAAU
Non-coding RNA from Pelobates cultripes (western spadefoot toad), 673 nucleotides. NCBI's taxonomy places the organism in Eukaryota, Metazoa, Chordata, Amphibia, Anura, Pelobatidae. The record is from the annotation of a GenBank genome assembly.